GUCGAACCAAAGUCAUCAUACAAUAGAGGAAUAGAAGAAAUAUGGGGAAGAGAAUAGAGGAAGAAAGGGAAUAAAAGUGGACUUGGUAAGGAGAACAAGAAAUAUUAGACAGGCGUAGGUACAAAGAGAGGCAGAUAAAAUCUUAAGCAGAAACAUGAAAAUUAUUUCACAGACUGAACGAAUGUUAGAGUUUCUCAGUCACAGAUAGAAUAG
This 213-nucleotide long non-coding RNA is filed under the name Carica papaya (papaya). Its description in RNAcentral is "long non-coding RNA (CPAP_LNC007243)". Lineage: Eukaryota; Viridiplantae; Streptophyta; Magnoliopsida; Brassicales; Caricaceae. The record is from RNAcentral.